CCUACGGGCGGCAGCAGUGAGGAAUAUUGGUCAAUGGACGAGAGGCUGAACCAGCCAAGUAGCGUGAAGGAUGACUGCCCUAUGGGUUGUAAACUUCUUUUAUCGAGGAAUAAAACGAGGCACGUGUGCCUUUUUGCAUGUACUUUAUGAAUAAGGAUCGGCUAACUCCGUGCCAGCAGCCGCGGUAAUACGGAGGAUCCGAGCGUUAUCCGGAUUUAUUGGGUUUAAAGGGAGCGUAGAUGGGUGGUGAAGUCAGUUGUGAAAGUUUGCGGCUCAACCGUAUAAUUGCAAUUGAUACUGGAUGUCUUGAGUGCAGGUGAGGUAGGCGGAAUGCGUGGUGUAGCGGUGAAAUGCUUAGAUAUCACGCAGAACCCCGAUUGCGAAGGCAGCUUACUAAACUGUGACUGACAUUGAUGCACGAAAGUGUGGGUAUCAAACAGGAUUAGAUACCCCUGUAGUC
This 460-nucleotide ribosomal RNA is filed under the name uncultured bacterium. Its description in RNAcentral is "partial 16S ribosomal RNA". It matches the Rfam family "Bacterial small subunit ribosomal RNA", at positions 338 to 795 of the family's 1533-position model. The record is from RNAcentral.